RNAcentral lists this ribosomal RNA (465 nucleotides) under Vreelandella stevensii. RNAcentral's name for it is "partial 16S ribosomal RNA". It matches the Rfam family "Bacterial small subunit ribosomal RNA", at positions 338 to 795 of the family's 1533-position model. The record is from RNAcentral. Lineage: Bacteria; Pseudomonadati; Pseudomonadota; Gammaproteobacteria; Oceanospirillales; Halomonadaceae.
CCUACGGGGGGCAGCAGUGGGGAAUAUUGGACAAUGGGGGCAACCCUGAUCCAGCCAUGCCGCGUGUGUGAAGAAGGCCCUCGGGUUGUAAAGCACUUUCAGUGAGGAAGAACGCCUGGUGGUUAAUACCCAUCAGGAAAGACAUCACUCACAGAAGAAGCACCGGCUAACUCCGUGCCAGCAGCCGCGGUAAUACGGAGGGUGCGAGCGUUAAUCGGAAUUACUGGGCGUAAAGCGCGCGUAGGUGGCUUGAUAAGCCGGUUGUGAAAGCCCCGGGCUCAACCUGGGAACGGCAUCCGGAACUGUCAAGCUAGAGUGCAGGAGAGGAAGGUAGAAUUCCCGGUGUAGCGGUGAAAUGCGUAGAGAUCGGGAGGAAUACCAGUGGCGAAGGCGGCCUACUGGACUGACACUGACACUGAGGUGCGAAAGCGUGGGUAGCAAACAGGAUUAGAUACCCUGGUAGUC